This 484-nucleotide ribosomal RNA is filed under the name uncultured bacterium. Its description in RNAcentral is "partial 16S ribosomal RNA". It matches the Rfam family "Bacterial small subunit ribosomal RNA", at positions 30 to 507 of the family's 1533-position model. The record is from RNAcentral.
AUUGAACGCUGGCGGGAGGCCUAACACAUGCAAGUCGAGCGGAUGAAGGGAGCUUGCUCCUGGAUUCAGCGGCGGACGGGUGAGUAAUGCCUAGGAAUCUGCCUGGUAGUGGGGGAUAACGUCCGGAAACGGGCGCUAAUACUGCAUACGUCCUGAGGGAGAAAGUGGGGGAUCUUCGGACCUCACGCUAUCAGAUGAGCCUAGGUCGGAUUAGCUAGUUGGUGGGGUAAAGGCCUACCAAGGCGACGAUCCGUAACUGGUCUGAGAGGAUGAUCAGUCACACUGGAACUGAGACACGGUCCAGACUCCUACGGGAGGCAGCAGUGGGGAAUAUUGGACAAUGGGCGAAAGCCUGAUCCAGCCAUGCCGCGUGUGUGAAGAAGGUCUUCGGAUUGUAAAGCACUUUAAGUUGGGAGGAAGGGCAGUAAGUUAAUACCUUGCUGUUUUGACGUUACCAACAGAAUAAGCACCGGCUAACUUCGUG